GUUCCCUGCCGGCACAUGUUGACUUUAUCAGACGCUGCACUUUGACCUGGAUCUUUGUGUGUAUGUGUGUGUGUGUGUGUGUAAGUGUGUGUCUGGGACUCUCUACCUUCAGCUGAGCUACAAGUUAAGGGUCUCUCCUGGUUGCGCCCAGCUGGCGCCCCUACGAGUGGGCUGGGCAGAGGCAGGAGGCUGUGCCAGCUCUACUGGUGCAGAAGGGGGCACACCAGGCAGACAGGCCCAGUGUCAGCAGCAGCAGCGGCAUCGACUAUCCCCCUGGCUACAGCACAAACAUAUGCCGGCGUCCUCCAUGUUUGUGUAUAUACAGAGGCAAAUGAAGCUUUUAAGCAGGGUGGAGGGAUGUGGGUGAGAGGAAGAGCGAGAAAGGGGGCGGUGGUGGCUUACCACUGAAAAGAAUAAUUGACUUUCUGCGGAGCGUCACUUAUCCUCCAUCAACACCUUUGACUGCAAUGCAGGUACUGAAGAGAACAACUUCUGGAAGGAGAAGGAAUGUGAGAGAUGGAGUGGGACUGGCUGCCAUCCAGUGGCUUCAUAUAAGUACAUCGAUGACCACUGGUCUGAAUCGAUGACAACACUUCCAACUUUCUUCAUUUCCCGACGCUGGGCGAGGCCAGAGGACUGUACAGGCUCCAGGACUGGGGUUGGAGCACAGCGCCUCAAAGCAGAAUAGGUGGCAGACAGCGCCCCCUGGUGGAGAUUACAGAAUAUUACAUGCAUUGCUUUCAUUAUUCAAUAAACAGCAAACACCGCCACCUCAUGGAUAUACUGAUAAAACAAGUAUAUUAUGGUUGUUGUUAUUGUCAUAUUUUCAAUAUUAUUAUUAUUGGAUUAAAUUACCCGUGUGUGCAAUAUCUCGGCGUUGCUACGUCCCAAAGUCACGUGAUGGGUGUCACCAAAUCACGUGACAGUGCGCCACCAAUCAGUGCGGUAGGCUAUCCGGAAAAGAUUACAUACCGGUAGCCGUGAGAGACACGCUUGGAAAGAGUUGCUGCAGGUAUGUCAAAGUUGUCGUUAUUUUUUCACUAUCUAAAAGUCUAAACAAAAUGCUUGUGUGGUCGGAGUAUCGGGGCCGUCCACCGGCGCCACACCGCUUUGAAAGGAGCAGUGCUUUGAUAGAACUACGGAAUUGCGUCUGACACCAGGUCCCAGUUACCGCCACUGAUGAUAAAUUUCCCACAGCCAAUUUGAGCCAAAAUUUCCUCUGCUGAGUCAUCAGGACAGCUGGCGAAUGGACUGAAGCUUGAGGUAAAUAGAAGAAAAUGGGUGAGUGUGGCGAGGCAUUCACAACAUUUGUCCACACAUUUCACUUUAUACAUGGGAAGAACCAUUGUAACCAUUAUAUUUGCAAGCUACGGGUCUGUCAUUGAUUGUUAAACUAACCCAGCAAUGAUGGUGUAAAGCAGGAUACCCAAGCUCCAGAUGUCACAUGCAGCAUCAUAACCUUGCUUCUUCAGAACCUGCACACGCAUAAACACCUCUAGUCAUUUAUUUAUACUUCACUUUUUUAGGACACUCAUUAUUAUUAUUAUACAGAUUCAUGAAUUUUGAAUAGCCACACUGAAGAUCCCACUGACAUCCCCAUCAGCAGUGUAGUUGAUCAACAGUGACCCACCCUGCACUUUGCCCAUUUUUGGUUGGAUUUCAGUGAUUAGGAACAUAGUUCCGGUUAGUAGCUAGGGCCAUUUAAGUAAAGGGUUAGGCUGCUCAAAACAAUGUGUUCAAAGGAUUAAUACAUUUUUAUAAUUGCAAAAAAUCAGACCUCACAAAUGGCUUUCUCUCCCGCCAUAUCACUGCGCAGUGCUUCCAUGCACGGAUGAUGGUGUUAUGACUGCACCUUCUCGCAAUACAUGCACAACAAUGGACAGGCGACAGAGUGCAGUGCUACAACAGUAGAGGAGGUAAUGCAGAGCGAUUGUGAGGUCUGUUUUAUUCUUUUGAACGCCUAUUGUUUUGAGAAGCCAAACUCUUUACUUAAGUAGCCCCAUCAGCUAACCGGAACUAUGUUCCUCAUUGCCAAAAUCUGACCAGAAGUACACUGAUGAUGGGUUGUCAAUGUCAUGUCAAAACAUCUAAACUAUUCCUUUUAAGAUACUAAAUUAGAUGUCUUUUUAAUUUACCUCUGGUGCCAUGAAUGUCGCUGUGUAACAUGGGGUCAUCAGUAAGCCAUUUUCAGCCCUCAGCUGUUUGGCAAACCCAAAAUCACAUAUUUUGAGGCAUUCUGAGAGUCCUCUGUCAUCUGAGUAGCGAAUGUUGCUGGGUUUCAGGUCCCGAUGCACAACCUAAAAAAUAGGUGUUUAGAUUUUUUUUUAUGGCAAUCAAACGUAAGUGGUCUGCACUGCAUCCUUUUUAUCUGCAGUCCAAUGAAAACAAUGCAGUUUUUGGCUCAGUCUUACCCCCUGGGAGUGUAAAUAUUCCACAGUCUUGGCCAGUGUGCAGAUGAUGUCUGAUGCGUCUUUCUCUAUGAAAUUUGGCACCGUCAAUACUCGGUCCAGCAGCUCACCUCCUCUCAAUAAAUCCUGAACCAGGUACACACAGUGGCCAUCAUCAAACACCUGAAGAUGGGAAGACAAGCAUACAUAUACA
This is a long non-coding RNA of Doryrhamphus excisus (bluestripe pipefish), 2601 nucleotides long. RefSeq lists it as uncharacterized. The record is from RefSeq and is a predicted model, not a curated record. NCBI's taxonomy places the organism in Eukaryota, Metazoa, Chordata, Actinopteri, Syngnathiformes, Syngnathidae.